Molecule: long non-coding RNA, 1994 nt
Organism: Homo sapiens (human)
Lineage: Eukaryota; Metazoa; Chordata; Mammalia; Primates; Hominidae
Product: long intergenic non-protein coding RNA 1787
Source: Ensembl
GAGAAUUACUCUGGAUUGUAAGCAAAUAUCUCUGGAAGAAAGGGAAAACUAAGUCAGAGCAGAAGGAGAAUUGAAAUGGUGAUGAGGACUGUGGAAGAUGAAGGCUUGGAACUGAGACCCCCUGGAAAAGACAGGCACUUGAAAGCCUAUUGCCUCAAAGAAAAGAAGGAUGUAUCCUCUAUCCAGCAAGCCUUUUUCAAUAAAAUCAUUAUGUACUCCACCUGCAACAAGGAAAGAAAACAAAGUUCCGUGAAUAACUAAAUCAUCAUAAUGAAGCAAAACGAUAAGCAGAAAGCAAGAGUGUUUUGAAAGCAUUGAUCACAAUAGCCAAGAAAUGAAGCAAUCCAGUAUCCAUCGAUAAAUGGAUGGAUAAAGAAAAUGUGGUACAUACAUACAACGGAAUAUUAUUCAGCCUUAACAAUGAAGGACAUCCGGACACAUGCUACAACAUGAAUGGACUUUGAAGACAUUAUGUUAAAAGCAAUAAGCAAAUCACAAUAGACAAAUACUAUAUGACAUAUGAUUCCACUUAUAUCAGGUACUUAGAGUAGUCACAUUCAUAAAGACAGAAAGUAGAAUGGUGGUUUCUCCGGGGAAGGGAAAGAGAGACUAGGGAGCUGUUGUUUAAUUUGUGAAAUCAAAAGAAUUUUGAAGAUUGCUUGCAUAACAUUGUGAAUAUAUGAACACUACUGAACUAUGUGCUUUAAAAUGGUUAAGUUAGUAAUGAACUAUAUGCUUAAAAAUGGUUAAGAUAGUAAAUUCUGUUAUUUUACUGAUGUUUUUUUCUCUUUCAAGUUUUAUUUUAGAAUCAAGGGGAACAUACACAGGUUUGUUACAAAAGUAUAUUGUUUGAUGCUGAGGUUUGAGGUAUGAUUGAAUCUGUCACCCCAUUAGUCAGCACAGUACUGAAUAGGUAGUUCUUCGGCCUUCACGACAGUUUUUUUAAAAGUACACAAACAAUUGUAGGUAUUUAAUUUGUUACUGUGCACAUGAAUAUACUAAACAGGAAAAGGUCACUAAGCUGUGGAUAUACACAUUGUUUACAGUUCAAUGAGAAUUGGCUUCUGUUGGCUAGCAAUAAAUGUCAAACUGUUCAACAUUGAUUAAUCAUGAAGGAAUAUUGCUUAACAAAGAAUAAAAUAUCUUUCUGAGGUUACAAGCAACAACUAGCUUUCUCUGACUUACUGAUUGACAUGAUGCAAAAUGCCUUCCCAGCCUCAGCAUCUGACUUAUAUGAUAUUCUAGUCACUUACAAAGAUGACAACUGUAUUAGUCCACUUUCAUGCUGCUGAUAAAGACAUACCUAAGACCGGCCAACUUACAAAAGAAAGAGCUUUAUUGGACUUACAGUUCCAUGUGGCUGGAGAAGCCACUCAGUGGCAGAAGGACAAGAUUUCAGGCACAUCUCACAUGGUGGAAGACGAGAGAAGAGAGCUUGUGUAGGGAAACUCCUGUUUUUAAAACCAUCAAAUCUCUUGAGACUUAUUCACUACCACGAGAGCAGCAUGGAAAAGACCUGCUCCCAUGAUUCAAUUACCUCCCACUGGGUCCCUCUCACAACACAUGGAAAUUCAAGAUGACAUUUGAGUGGGGACACAGCCAAACCAUAUCAACAACAGUCUUCCAGAUACUAGGUAAAGAAAAUCUGACCCAGUUUGUUAAGGUAUGUUUACUCCUUUAUCUUACCUUAUUGGAGGUAAGAUAAAAGAUAGGUAAGAUCUUACCUUAAGAUCAGGAAGGGUGGUUCAUAUAAUACCAGUAUGGCUUCCAAUUGGUAUACCCUUGUGGAUCUGAGGGAAGAAAUAAGAAUGUCUGCCCCAUAAGAAGCUAGGAGACAGAUUUUGGAGUCCCUGAGUCCCUGAGACCCUGACUUGGUUACAACAGCCAGAGAGAACUGUGGGAAUCCCUGAGAUGGCAGCCUCAUCUUAAAGGGUGAUUACUAGAGAUAAUAAGGGGGAGAAGCCUUGGUGAGCAUCCUGGACCAUUUUGGUUCC